This 468-nucleotide ribosomal RNA is filed under the name uncultured bacterium. RNAcentral describes it as "partial 16S ribosomal RNA". It matches the Rfam family "Bacterial small subunit ribosomal RNA", at positions 28 to 507 of the family's 1533-position model. The record is from RNAcentral.
GACGAACGCUGGCGGCGUGCUUAACACAUGCAAGUCGAACGGACAGGCCCUGCUUUUGUGGGGUGCUUGAUUGGCGAACGGGGGAGUAACACGCGAGUAACCUGCCCCUGACUUUGGGAUAACUUCAGGAAACAGGGGCGAAUACCGGAUAGGAGCUCUUGCUGCACGGGGGGGGUUGGAAAGAGUCGGCGGUUGGGGAUGGACUCGCGGCUUAUCAGCUUGUUGGGGUGGUAGUGGCUUACCAAGGCUUUGACGGGAAGCCGGCCUGGGAGGGUGACCGGCCACAUUGGGCCUGAGGUACGGCCCAGACUCCUACGGGCGGCAGCAGUCGGGAACAUUGCGCAGUGGGCGGGAGCCUGAUGCAGCAACGCCGCGUGCGGGAUGACGGCCUUCUGGUUGUAAACCGCUUUCGCCUGUGACGAAGAGUGCGUGACGGUAAUGGGUAAAGAAGCACCGGCUAACUACGUG